UUUCCGUAGGUGAACCUGCGGAAGGAUCAUUAAAGAGUAAGGGUCUUCGGGCCCGAUCUCCAACCCUUUGUUUAACUACCAUGUUGCUUUGGCGGGCCCGUCUCACGACCGCCGGAAGUUUGGCUUCGACCAAACUUCUGGCCCGUGCCCGUCAGUGGCCCCUUCAAACUCUUGAUCAAGUAUGAUGUCUUAGUUAAAAACUUAAUAGUUAAAACUUUCAACAACGGAUCUCUUGGUUCUGGCAUCGAGGAAGAACGCAGC
This 261-nucleotide unclassified non-coding RNA is filed under the name plant metagenome. Its description in RNAcentral is "partial contains small subunit ribosomal RNA, internal transcribed spacer 1, and 5.8S ribosomal RNA". The stretch from base 213 to 261 matches the Rfam family "5.8S ribosomal RNA", at positions 1 to 49 of the family's 154-position model. The record is from RNAcentral.